UAACCUGCGGAGGAUCAUUG
This 20-nucleotide ribosomal RNA is filed under the name Stenanthemum petraeum. Its description in RNAcentral is "partial 18S ribosomal RNA". Lineage: Eukaryota; Viridiplantae; Streptophyta; Magnoliopsida; Rosales; Rhamnaceae. The record is from RNAcentral.